CCUACGGGUGGCAGCAGUGGGGAAUAUUGCACAAUGGGCGAAACCCUGAUCCAGCAACGCCGCGUGAAGGAAGACGGGCUUCGGCUCGUAAACUUCUAUCGAUAGGGACGAAAGAGAUGACGGUACCUACAUAAGAAGCCCCGGCUAACUACGUGCCAGCAGCCGCGGUAAUACGUAGGGGGCAAGCGUUAUCCGGAAUUACUGGGUGUAAAGGGAGCGUAGGCGGCAAGGUAAGUAAGAUGGGAAAGCCCGCAGCUUAAAUGCGAGGAUUGCAUUUUAAACUAGCUAGCUGGAGUACAGGAGAGGUAAGCGGAAGUCCUGGUGUAGCGGUGAAAUGCGUAGAUAUUAGGAAGAACACCGAUGGCGAAGGCGGCUUACUGGACUGUAACUGACGCUGAGGCUCGAAAGCGUGGGGAGCGAACAGGAUUAGAUACCCUUGUAGUC
RNAcentral lists this ribosomal RNA (444 nucleotides) under uncultured bacterium. Its description in RNAcentral is "partial 16S ribosomal RNA". It matches the Rfam family "Bacterial small subunit ribosomal RNA", at positions 338 to 795 of the family's 1533-position model. The record is from RNAcentral.